RNAcentral lists this ribosomal RNA (467 nucleotides) under uncultured bacterium. RNAcentral describes it as "partial 16S ribosomal RNA". It matches the Rfam family "Bacterial small subunit ribosomal RNA", at positions 339 to 795 of the family's 1533-position model. The record is from RNAcentral.
CUACGGGCGGCUCCAGUGGGGAAUAUUGCGCAAUGGGGGAAACCCUGACGCAGCGACGCCGCGUGGGUGAUGAAGGCCUUCGGGUCGUAAAGCCCUGUCGGAGAGGGACGAAAAACUAAUGGGAACAAUACCCUGUUAGCCUGACGGUACCUCUCCAGAAAGCACCGGCUAACUCCGUGCCAGCAGCCGCGGUAAGACGGAGGGUGCCAACGUUGCUCGGAAUCACUGGGCGUAAAGCGCGUGUAGGCGGAUCGAAAAGCGAGAUGUGAAAGCCCUCGGCUCAACCGAGGAAGUGCAUUUCGAACUGUCGAUCUUGAGUGCGGUAGAGGGAGGUAGAAUUCCCGGUGUAGAGGUGAAAUUCGUAGAUAUCGGGAGGAAUACCAGUGGCGAAGGCGGCCUCCUGGGCCGACACUGACGCUGAGACGCGAAAGCGUGGGGAGCAAACAGGAUUAGAUACCCGAGUAGUC